This is an RNA transcript of Lynx canadensis (Canada lynx), 1674 nucleotides long. RefSeq lists it as uncharacterized. The record is from RefSeq and is a predicted model, not a curated record. Lineage: Eukaryota; Metazoa; Chordata; Mammalia; Carnivora; Felidae. The transcript has 7 exons.
GGAAAAGCGCUGUCGUCCCCGGCCGCGGCGGCCGCGCAGGCAGCGCCCCAGAGGAGCCAGAGCCUCAGGACGGGGCGCCAGGCUGAGCUCACGGCCAUCUCUCCGCUGCCAUCCAGCAGGGCGCUGCGUGGGGCUCGGCGGCUGUGCGUCCUCGUCGGUGCCCCCGUGGGGCGGCGGUGCCUCGCGUGCAUUACCUUCUCGGCCCCCGCCUUGUCCGGAUGUGGGAAGUCAAGGCGGCCCGACGCGCAACUUAGUGAAAAAGGCACAGCGAGAGGGGUCAUGGAAUUUCCUUCUGAGGAUAGAGUUAAACACCAAAAAGGGUCACAGCCAUCAUGAGGAACAGACACCGUCUCUCUGAAGGCGCAUCAGAUCUGCCAGAGUAAAAGACCAAGGUUCUGUAAAAAAUUCUGAUUAACCUGCCCAGAGUCCUUCAUGUUGGACCCAGAAUGGUGGACCUCGUCUGCAUUGUACUUGCCUGAGAGAAUCAGCUGGGCACAAGUUUUCCUUUUUUCCCAGAAUGCAAUGGGGCAUGUGCGUCCUAACACCAAUCUUGAAAAUAGCAUUAGCUUCCAAAGCCAUAAUAGACUGGCAUUCUCAGCUUUUGGCUCUAAGCUAGAGACAAAGUACGCUAUCCAUUUCUUGUGAACUCUCAUAUUGGAAGGUUUUCUCAGCUACGGUAGUUCACAAAGGAAUGCCACCAGCUUAGCUUUACUACAAGAAGUCCCAGGAACACCUGUUCCAGGUCAGCUUCUCACCUGGUUAGUCCACAUCGAUUAUCAUCGCAUGGAAUUGGUUCAAUCAGGAAAAAAUGGCAUCAAGGGAAGCUCCAGGAACAAACUGGAAAUCAGGACAUGUUUGGAUGGAAGAGAAGCAAAGUGCAACCGUCCGUCUGCCUCAUUCUCUGUUUGCCCUCUUCUUCUGUCUCAGCAGAUGACCUUGCUGCCCAGACACCGUGGACAUUUAGGUCUCAGUUUACUGACCACUGGAAGGUGCGUCUUUUACUCCCCCUGGAGGAGACCAAAAACUGCCUCAGUUUCUAGGACAUCCCACAUGGAGGAGACCCAGUGAAAGCUGGCAGAAAGUGGCAGGGCCAUGGAGUGACUCCCCCCCAGCCAUCUCUGCUUCCCGGUGCAAUUUAAGGUAGAUGAAUGGUUCACUCUGGGCUCCAGGCCAAAGAACUGGCCCCGGGGGGAAAUCAUUCUCACACCCACGCUUGAUGCACAUACACCCUGCAACUCUCCUUCCUGCCCAGCAGCCCCCCAGAUGGAAUCCUUAUACUCGAGGAAGCAGUGGGUCUUUCAUUGCCGUCUCUGGGCUACAAGAAUCAAAGAGCAAAAUGGAUGUUUUCCUCUGAGAACUGGCACUGAACAGAAGGAAGGAAACGACUUCUCCAAUUCAAGCAUGUUUUAAUCUCUGGAGAAGUGGGGACUGGGGAGGGGCAGAAUUGGCUGAGGAAUCAGUGGGAAAGUCAUAAAUUUUGUCUCUUAUCCCGGUAACUAAGAUUCUUCCUUUACAGUGCCGCCCACUCCUUCUUCUUUUUUUCAAAGAGUUUGGAUAAUGAACAAUCACUUUCUAAAUUCUCAAGUUCAAAAAUCUCUCAGUGGAGGAAAAACCGGGAGGUUUUGAGUAAAUCUCCAAAGGCCGGACGGAUCCUUUAUAAACAUGCUCAGAAAU